AUACGAAGGGUGCUAGCGUUGUUCGGAAUUACUGGGCGUAAAGAGCAUGUAGGCGGAUUGAUUAGUCAGAGGUGAAAGCCCCGAGCUCAACUUGGGAAUUGCCUUUGAUACUGUCAAUCUAGAGACCGAGAGAGGUGAGUGGAAUUCCCAGUGUAGAGGUGAAAUUCGUAGAUAUUGGGAAGAACACCAGUGGCGAAGGCGGCUCACUGGCUCGGUACUGACGCUGAGAUGCGAAAGCGUGGGGAGCAAACAGGAUUAGAAACCCUAGUAGUCC
This 274-nucleotide ribosomal RNA is filed under the name uncultured bacterium. RNAcentral describes it as "partial 16S ribosomal RNA". It matches the Rfam family "Bacterial small subunit ribosomal RNA", at positions 523 to 796 of the family's 1533-position model. The record is from RNAcentral.